CUCGGUUCAAAACUGAACCGAAAAUGCAAGACUUGCUUUAAUUGUUUUCUUUCAAUUUCUUUCUGUAUUAUUUGCUAUUAUGGAACUCAUGUUAUUUACACUGUGCUUGAUCAAUACAUAUAAACACUGACAAAAAACAAUUAAAGCAAGUCUUGCAUUUUCGGUUCAGUUUUGAACCGAG
This 181-nucleotide microRNA precursor is filed under the name Paramuricea clavata. Lineage: Eukaryota; Metazoa; Cnidaria; Anthozoa; Malacalcyonacea; Plexauridae. The record is from RNAcentral.